RNAcentral lists this ribosomal RNA (438 nucleotides) under Procubitermes arboricola. RNAcentral describes it as "partial 12S ribosomal RNA". It matches the Rfam family "Microsporidia small subunit ribosomal RNA", at positions 651 to 1281 of the family's 1311-position model. The record is from RNAcentral. Lineage: Eukaryota; Metazoa; Arthropoda; Insecta; Blattodea; Termitidae.
UAAACUAGGAUUAGAUACCCUAUUAUUUUGGAAUGUUAAGUUUGAUGCCUGAGUAGUAUUAGUUAUGUUCUUGAAACUUAAAGAAUUUGGCGGUAUCUCAUUCCGUCCAGAGGAAUCUGUCUCGUUAUCGAUAGUCCACGUUGGACCUUACUUAGAUUGCUAUAUGGUUUGUAUACCGCCGUUUAUUGAUUAUCUUUUUAGAGUUUAAGUAAUUUUCUAUCUUCUUUAUUUGGAUCUAUUUCAGGUCAAGGUGCAGCUUGUUUCUAAGUGAAUGAUGGAUUACAUUAAUAUUUGUUUUUGGAUUGUUGAUUUUAAUAUUGACAUGAAAUUGGAUUUGGUUGUAAUGAUUUAUAGAUUGUUUUCAUGAUAAUGGUUCUGGGAUAUGUACACAUCGCCCGUCGCUCUCGUUCGAUUAAUGAGAUAAGUCGUAACAUAGUA